Molecule: ribosomal RNA, 425 nt
Filed under: uncultured bacterium
Lineage: Bacteria
Description: partial 16S ribosomal RNA
Rfam family: Bacterial small subunit ribosomal RNA
Source: RNAcentral
AAUAUUGGACUAUGGGCGCAAGCCUGAUCCAGCCAUGCCGCGUGUGUGAAGAAGGCCUUAUGGUUGUAAAGCUCUGUAAGCUAGGAGGAGGCUACUUUAGAUAAUACCUAGAGAUAGUGGGCGUUACUCGCAGAAUAAGAACCUGCUAACUCUGUGCUAUCAGCCGCGGUAAGACAGAGGGUGCAAGCGUUAAUCGGAUUUACUUGGCGUAAAGCGCGCGGAGGCGGCUAAUGAAGUCAAAUGUGAAGUCCCCGAGCUUAACUUGGGAAUUGCAUUCGAUACUGGUUAGCUAGAGUGUGGGAGAGGAUGGUAGAAAUCCAGGUGUAGCGGUGAAAUGCGUAGAGAUCUGGAGGAAUACCGAUGGCGAAGGCAGCCAUCUGGCCUAACACUGACGCUGAGGUGCGAAAGCAUGGAGAGCAAACAGG